This 429-nucleotide unclassified non-coding RNA is filed under the name soil metagenome. Its description in RNAcentral is "partial contains 5.8S ribosomal RNA, internal transcribed spacer 2, and large subunit ribosomal RNA". The stretch from base 1 to 120 matches the Rfam family "5.8S ribosomal RNA", at positions 35 to 154 of the family's 154-position model. The record is from RNAcentral.
GAUGAAGAACGCAGUGAAAUGCGAUACGUAAUGUGAAUUGCAGAAUUCAGUGAAUCAUCGAAUCUUUGAACGCAUAUUGCGCUCUUUGGUAUUCCGAAGAGCAUGCUUGUUUGAGUAUCAGUAAACACCUCAAAGACUUCAAUUUGUUUUGAAUGGCUUUGGACUUGAGCAAUCCCAACACCAGUCUUUACGAUCGGUGGAGGGUUGCUUGAAAUGCAGGUGCAGCUGGACAUUCUCCUGAGCUAAAAGCAUAUUUAUUUAGUCCCGUCAAACGGAUUAUUACUUUUGCUGCAGCUAACAUAAAGGGAGUUUGACCGUAUUGGCUGACUGAUGCAGGAUUUCACAAGGGUCGGCAACGAUUCUUGUAAAACUCGAUCUCAAAUCAAGUAAGACUACCCGCUGAACUUAAGCAUAUCAAUAAGCGGAGGA